GACGAACGCUGGCGGCGUGCCUAAUACAUGCAAGUCGAGCGCAGGAAAUCGACGGAACCCUUCGGGGGGAAGUCGAUGGAAUGAGCGGCGGACGGGUGAGUAACACGUAAAGAACCUGCCCUCAGGUCUGGGAUAACCACGAGAAAUCGGGGCUAAUACCGGAUGGGUCAUCGGACCGCAUGGUCAGAGGAUGAAAGGCGCUUCGGCGUCGCCUGGGGAUGGCUGUGCGGUGCAUUAGCUAGUUGGUGGGGUAAGGGACCACAAAGGCGACGGUGCAUGGCUGACCUGAGAGGGUGCUGGGCCACCCUGGGACUUGGCUACGGCCCAGACUCCUACGGGAGGCAGCAGUAGGGAAGCUUUCACAAUGGACGAAAGUCUGAUGGAGCAACGCCGCGUGAACGAUGAAGGCCUUCGGGUCGUAAAGUUCUGUUGUAAGGGAAGAACAAGUGCCGCAGGCAAUGGCGGCACCUUGACGGUACCUUGCGAGAAAGCCACGGCUAACUACGUGCCAGCCGCCGCCGUAA
RNAcentral lists this ribosomal RNA (524 nucleotides) under uncultured bacterium. RNAcentral describes it as "partial 16S ribosomal RNA". It matches the Rfam family "Bacterial small subunit ribosomal RNA", at positions 28 to 523 of the family's 1533-position model. The record is from RNAcentral.